UGGGGAAUAUUGCACAAUGGGCGCAAGCCUGAUGCAGCCAUGCCGCGUGUAUGAAGAAGGCCUUCGGGUUGUAAAGUACUUUCAGCGAGGAGGAAGGCGUUGUGGUUAAUAACCGCAACGAUUGACGUUACUCGCAGAAGAAGCACCGGCUAACUCCGUGCCAGCAGCCGCGGUAAUACGGAGGGAGCAAGCGUUAAUCGGAAUUAAUGGGCGUAAAGCGCACGCAGGCGGUCUGUCAAGUCGGAUGUGAAAUCCCCGGGCUCAACCUGGGAACUGCAUCCGAAACUGGCAGGCUAGAGUCUUGUAGAGGGGGGUAGAAUUCCAGGUGUAGCGGUGAAAUGCGUAGAGAUCUGGAGGAAUACCGGUGGCGAAGGCGGCCCCCUGGACAAAGACUGACGCUCAGGUGCGAAAGCGUGGGGAGCAAACA
RNAcentral lists this ribosomal RNA (427 nucleotides) under uncultured bacterium. Its description in RNAcentral is "partial 16S ribosomal RNA". It matches the Rfam family "Bacterial small subunit ribosomal RNA", at positions 355 to 774 of the family's 1533-position model. The record is from RNAcentral.